Molecule: non-coding RNA, 54 nt
Filed under: unclassified sequences
Source: RNAcentral
CCAAGACUAUUUUCAUAACGAAAAUAGACAACCCAAGACGAGGAGAUUAACAUG